UAAUACAGAGGGGGCAAGCGUUAUUCGGAAUUAUUGGGCGUAAAGGGCGCGUAGGCGGUCUCUCAAGUGGAUGGUGAAAUCCCCGGGCUUAACCUGGGAACUGCCGUCCAAACUGAGCGACUUGAGUCCGGGAGAGGUAAGUGGAAUUCCCAGUGUAGCGGUGAAAUGCGUAGAUAUUGGGAGGAACACCAGUGGCGAAGGCGGCUUACUGGACCGGAACUGACGCUGAGGCGCGAAAGCGUGGGGAGCAAACAGGAUUAGAUACCCUGGUAGUCCACGCUGUAAACGAUGAGUGCUGGGUGUAGGGGGUAUCGACCCCUCCUGUGCCGAAGUUAACACAUUAAGCACUCCGCCUGGGGAGUACGGUCGCAAGGCUG
Molecule: ribosomal RNA, 377 nt
Filed under: uncultured bacterium
Lineage: Bacteria
Description: bacterial SSU rRNA
Rfam family: Bacterial small subunit ribosomal RNA
Source: RNAcentral